Branchiostoma belcheri (Belcher's lancelet) is the source of this 744-nucleotide long non-coding RNA. RefSeq lists it as uncharacterized. The record is from RefSeq and is a predicted model, not a curated record. The transcript has 2 exons. Lineage: Eukaryota; Metazoa; Chordata; Leptocardii; Amphioxiformes; Branchiostomatidae.
UGCCUUGUAACAAAAAAAGAAACAAACGUAAAACAUAAUGAAUUGAGAUUCGUUCUGUCAUCUGUACAUAUGUGUCAUCUGCAUGAUGCAUUGUUAACUGAACUUGGCGUGAUAAAUGUGUUGAGAAUUUAGCAUGAAGCUGUUUACCUCUUUUGUAUGUCCCGUGUUGUUAAUACCAAGUGCAUUUCUGACUGCGGCGUUGUAUGAAUUCUUGUAGAUGUUGUUCUACUAUCUGCCUGCCGAAUAAAGCAGUUGUUUUGAUCCAAAAGUUGUAAUCUGUAUAGAUUUGGCAUGCUAUACGCGGUAGGGGAAUUCCUGCUAGGUUUCGAUGACGUAAGGGGGUUUCUGCUAUGUUUCGAUGACGUAAGGGGGUUUCUGCUAUGUUUCGAUGACGUAAGGGGGUUUCUUCUCAGUUUCAAUGACGUGUGCUACGUACAUGUUUCGCUCCUCUCAUUUCUACUUGUACUUCGUAAUGUUUUACCUUGAACUUCGGAGCUGGUAAGACUACACAACCACACACUGACCGUCUGGAAAGGCAGAAUUGUCUACAAAGUCACGAGAAACUUCAAGGAUGGAUAUCUAUAUCCCCGUUGCCCUAGCUGGUUGGGCCGUCAGUGUCUGUCUGUCUGCGGGUGCCCUGGCGGUGGUCCGAACCUUGGACAAGAAGCUGACCUACUUCUCUGUCGCGAUGGGGGCUACCGUCAUCUAUUCACUGCCCAUCAUUCUCCUCUUCAUUAUGGGCGG